UGUGAACGCUGGCGGUAGGCCUAACACAUGCAAGUCGAACGGCAGCACAGAGGAGCUUGCUCCUUGGGUGGCGAGUGGCGGACGGGUGAGGAAUACAUCGGGAUCUACUCUGUCGUGGGGGAUAACGUAGGGAAACUUACGCUAAUACCGCAUACGACCUACGGGUGAAAGCAGGGGACCUUCGGGCCUUGCGCGAUUGAAUGAGCCGAUGUCGGAUUAGCUAGUUGGCGGGGUAAAGGCCCACCAAGGCGACGAUCCGUAACUGGUCUGAGAGGAUGCUCAGCCACACUGGAUCUGAGACACGGUCCAGACUCCUACGGGAGGCAGCAGUGGGGAAUAUUGGACAAUGGGCGCAAGCCUGAUCCAGCCAUACCGCGUGGGUGAAGAAGGCCUUCGGGUUGUAAAGCCCUUUUGUUGGGAAAGAAAUCCAGCUGGCUAAUACCCGGUUGGGAUGACGGUACCCAAAGAAUAAGCACCGGCUAACUUCGUGCCAGCAGCCGCAGUAA
RNAcentral lists this ribosomal RNA (506 nucleotides) under uncultured bacterium. RNAcentral describes it as "partial 16S ribosomal RNA". It matches the Rfam family "Bacterial small subunit ribosomal RNA", at positions 29 to 523 of the family's 1533-position model. The record is from RNAcentral.